AGUGAACGCUGGCGGUAGGCCUAACACAUGCAAGUCGAACGGCAGCACAGUAAGAGCUUGCUCUUACGGGUGGCGAGUGGCGGACGGGUGAGGAAUACAUCGGAAUCUACUUUUUCGUGGGGGAUAACGUAGGGAAACUUCCGCUAAUACCGCAUACGACCUACGGGUGCAAGCAGGGGAUCUUCGGACCUUGCGCGAUUGAGUGAGCCGAUGUCGGAUUAGCUAGUUGUCGGGGUAAAGGCCCACCAAGGCGACGAUCCGUAGCUGGUCUGAGAGGAGGAGCAGCAACCCGGGAACAGGGAGACGGUCCAGACUCCGAGGGGAGGCAGCAGUGGGGAAUAUUGGACAAUGGGGGCAAGCCUGAUCCAGCCAUACCGCGUGGGUGAAGAAGGCCCUCGGGUUGUAAAGCCCUUUUGUUGGGAAAGAAAAGCAGCAGGUUAAUACCCCGCUGUUCUGACGGUACCCAAAGAAUAAGCACCGGCUAACUUCGUG
RNAcentral lists this ribosomal RNA (492 nucleotides) under uncultured bacterium. RNAcentral's name for it is "partial 16S ribosomal RNA". It matches the Rfam family "Bacterial small subunit ribosomal RNA", at positions 29 to 507 of the family's 1533-position model. The record is from RNAcentral.